UGGCAAUGAUGACUAUAUGUAUUCCUGC
This 28-nucleotide non-coding RNA is filed under the name Homo sapiens (human). The record is from RNAcentral. Lineage: Eukaryota; Metazoa; Chordata; Mammalia; Primates; Hominidae.